Molecule: long non-coding RNA, 1065 nt
Filed under: Homo sapiens (human)
Lineage: Eukaryota; Metazoa; Chordata; Mammalia; Primates; Hominidae
Description: non-protein coding lnc-TP53TG3-68:1
Source: RNAcentral
CCAGCUGCCGCUUCCGUUUGUUGAGCACAGAAUGUACGAAUGCCGGCUAGGGGGCCAAAGGUGGGGACAGUGGCCACCUCUCGUAUCUCUGACCAUUCAGCCGCCAGCCAUACCCAGGCCGCUGCCAGCGGUCCCAUGAGCCUGGCGUUCCUGUCGCCCCUUCUCCCCACAGUUCGUCUCCUUGUUCUCCCAGCCGGGCUCCUAGCUCCUCAGAGACGCAGGACCAGCUCAGAUCUCCUGUCCAGCACCUGCCGGGCUAGUAAGCGAGAAGGCCAGGAGAAAGGGUGUCUGUCGCUCCAGAAGGAACAGGACCUCCCUACUCCAGGAAGGAGUCCGACGCUCAGUGGGGGCUGCAGGCGCAGCGGACGGUGGGGGCAGCAGCAGCAGCGGCAGGAGGAGAAGCAAUGGCUUCUCUGGAGGUGGCACUGUCUGUCUCCUUGGGCGUCUCCCUAACAUAGUCAUGAUUCAAAAUCUGUGCUCACCACCAGUGCAAGGUCACAGCGGGAAAUUGUAAUUAUCUAAGCGGAUUCUUUCUUAAUUGUACAUCUAUGUUUUAUAUAGAAGUGUUUUUGUUGUUGUUGUUGUUGUUAAUGUUUCUCUCAUUCUUGUUUUGAAAUUUCAUAUUACUGUGCUUCUUUUUUGGGGUAGCUUCUUUGACAUUUGUGUUUUGUGAAUUUGGUUUUACCUACAUAUUAUGAUUUUGGAUGUAAAUCUGCAACUCUAUGUACACAUCGAGUCGAUGUGGGGUUUAAUUAAAAUAUGAAUCAGUCAUAUCUACCACCAAUAAAAUCAUGUGUUUGUUUGCCUCUAUAAAUAUACUCCAUUUAUUCUUAUCUUGCAUAUUUCUCUUCUUGGCUGAUGUCAAAAGUUUGUUUUAACUUGUUCAGGAGAGUAGUCAUGUAAAUAGUCUUAAUUUGCCCAUGUAUUUUUUGAUGAAUCUAUAUUAUCUUUGUGUGAGAAAAACACGCUUAUAAUUUGAAGGUAAUUUUCUGAAAAGUUUAUAACUCUGUAUCUCUUUUAUGUAUCACUUUACAAUAUUUUAAUUGUAAUAAAGCACAACAAAAU